GAUGAACGCUGGCGGCGUGCCUAAUACAUGCAAGUCGAGCGAACAGACGAGGAGCUUGUUCCUCUGACGUUAGCGGCGGACGGGUGAGUAACACGUGGAUAACCUACCUAUAAGACUGGGAUAACUUCGGGAAACCGGAGCUAAUACCGGAUAAUAUAUUUAACCGCAUGGUUCAAUAGUGAAAGACGGUUUUGCUUUCACUUAUAGAUAGAUCCGCGCCGCAUUAGCUAGUUGGUAAGGUAACGGCUUACCAAGGCAACGAUGCGUAGCCGACCUGAGAGGGUGAUCGGCCACACUGGAACUGAGACACGGUCCAGACUCCUACGGGAGGCAGCAGUAGGGAAUCUUCCGCAAUGGGCGAAAGCCUGACGGAGCAACGCCGCGUGAGUGAUGAAGGUCUUCGGAUCGUAAAACUCUGUUAUUAGGGAAAAACAAAUGUGUAAGUAACUAUGCACGUCUUGACGGUACCUAAUCAGAAAGCCACGGCUAACUACGUG
Molecule: ribosomal RNA, 497 nt
Filed under: uncultured bacterium
Lineage: Bacteria
Description: partial 16S ribosomal RNA
Rfam family: Bacterial small subunit ribosomal RNA
Source: RNAcentral